GACGAACGCUGGCGGCGUGCCUAAUACAUGCAAGUAGAACGCUGAAGGAGGAGCUUGCUUCUCCGGAUGAGUUGCGAACGGGUGAGUAACGCGUAGGUAACCUGCCUGGUAGCGGGGGAUAACUAUUGGAAACGAUAGCUAAUACCGCAUAACAGUAGAUGUUGCAUGACAUUUGCUUAAAAGGUGCAAUUGCAUCACUACCAGAUGGACCUGCGUUGUAUUAGCUAGUUGGUGAGGUAACGGCUCACCAAGGCGACGAUACAUAGCCGACCUGAGAGGGUGAUCGGCCACACUGGGACUGAGACACGGCCCAGACUCCUACGGGAGGCAGCAGUAGGGAACCUUCGGCAAUGGACGGAAGUCUGACCGAGCAACGCCGCGUGAGUGAAGAAGGUUUUCGGAUCGUAAAGCUCUGUUGUAAGAGAAGAACGAGUGUGAGAGUGGAAAGUUCACACUGUGACGGUAUCUUACCAGAAAGGGACGGCUAACUACGUG
Molecule: ribosomal RNA, 495 nt
Filed under: uncultured bacterium
Lineage: Bacteria
Description: partial 16S ribosomal RNA
Rfam family: Bacterial small subunit ribosomal RNA
Source: RNAcentral